GUAACUGCUGUAGCCAGUAAUGAGUAAUGAAGGAGAGAAAGAGAUUAUAAGUAUAUGCAAUUCCAAAGCUUGCAAAUUAAAUUUCAUUAUUAAAAUUAUUAAUAAAUAUCGAUGAUGUCAUGAUGAUGUACUCUCCAACUAAACACCAGCUUAGUAAUAUUAUCACUCUUCCAUCAUUGAAGCUGUUCUGCUUUUUGAUUGAAUUGACGCUUAAAAGUAAAACUAUAACUUUCUAACCAUAAUAAUGCUGACCUGAAGGUGAAUCACCA
This 269-nucleotide long non-coding RNA is filed under the name Trifolium pratense (red clover). RNAcentral's name for it is "long non-coding RNA (TPRA_LNC007355)". Lineage: Eukaryota; Viridiplantae; Streptophyta; Magnoliopsida; Fabales; Fabaceae. The record is from RNAcentral.